Molecule: ribosomal RNA, 443 nt
Filed under: uncultured bacterium
Lineage: Bacteria
Description: bacterial SSU rRNA
Rfam family: Bacterial small subunit ribosomal RNA
Source: RNAcentral
UGCAAGUCGAACGAGAAGCUGACUUCGGUCAGUGGAAAGUGGCGGACGGGUGAGUAAUAUGUAGAGAAUCUGCCCUUGAGUGGGGGACAACAGAGGGAAACUUCUGCUAAUACCCCAUAUGAGCUAACUUGAAAUAGUUAUCUUGAAAACUCCGGUGCUCAAGGAUGAGUCUGCAUCUGAUUAGCUAGUUGGCGGUGUAAUGGACCACCAAGGCGACGAUCAGUAGCUGGUUUGAGAGGAUGAUCAGCCACAAUGGGACUGAGACACGGCCCAUACUCCUACGGGAGGCAGCAGUAGGGAAUUUUGCGCAAUGGGCGAAAAAGCCUGACGCAGCAACGCCGCGUGAACGAUUAAGCCCUUCGGGGUGUAAAGUUCUGUCAGUAGGGACGAAUUUUGACGGUACCUACAGAGGAAGCACCGGCUAACUCCGUGCCAGCCGCCGC